CUCAUCUUUGAUCUUUCUUCAGACUUAGAAUCAGUGUAUAAGAAAGAAACAGUGAAACUGCACUCACUUGGAAUACACAUUAAACAACCUUGGCCUUCUUUUUGUUUUCACUGUCACAGUGUCACUGUGUAUGUAUGAAAACAUUAUCUUGAGUGCUUAAUGUGUUUAGGGAGGGCAGUUAAUCUGCCAUGACAUUGGGUUGUGUUAAUAUUUGAGUGUAUCAUAUGACCUGGAUUUGAUUAGUUGUUUUGUCAGAUUCUAUAUGCAUGAGAAUGCACAGUUAAUAAUCUCUUCAUUAUUGUGAUGCAUGUUUGUUGUGAUUCAGGGAACAGACAGAUCAGCGUCUGG
RNAcentral lists this unclassified non-coding RNA (348 nucleotides) under Hevea brasiliensis (rubber tree). The record is from RNAcentral. Lineage: Eukaryota; Viridiplantae; Streptophyta; Magnoliopsida; Malpighiales; Euphorbiaceae.